CUAACAAGGAUUCCCUCAGUAACGGCGAGUGAAGCGGGAAGAGCUCAAAUUUGAAAUCUCCGAUGCUUGCAUCGGCGAGUUGUAGUUGCGAGAAGCACUUUCUAGGCGGAUCGACGGUGCCUAAGUUGCUUGGAACGGCACGUCGCAGAGGGUGACAACCCCGUCUGUGGCGCCGCCGGCCGCCGACGAUGUGCUUUCGAAGAGUCGGGUUGUUUGGGAAUGCAGCCCAAAACGGGUGGUAAACUCCAUCUAAAGCUAAAUACUGGCGUGAGACCGAUAGCGAAGGAAACGAAUGGACUCAGCAAUGCGCCCUCUGAGAUUCAGCCGGUGGGUGGCGGCGGCGCCGGGUUUGCGGAUCUGAAUGGACCGCGGCCUGGCGCCCGCCUCUCCCCGCCGUCGCACUUCUCUGGGGCGCGCGUCAACGUGGGUUGGGACUGGGUCUGAAAGGCGCCGGGAAGGUAGGUGUGGGCCUUCGGGUCCGUUCUGUUACAGCCCGGUUCUCUCAUGGCUCGGGCCCGACCGAGGAGCGACACGGGGCAUGCCUCCUGUGGCUAGGGUCCCGCCCUUCCGGCCGGCUGUCCAGUGCGGUGGACUGCUUGCAGUGCUCCGCGACGGCUGCCGGUCGUUGGGGUGGUGAUCU
This 640-nucleotide ribosomal RNA is filed under the name Platygyra daedalea. RNAcentral describes it as "eukaryotic LSU rRNA". The stretch from base 1 to 281 matches the Rfam family "Eukaryotic large subunit ribosomal RNA", at positions 65 to 358 of the family's 3401-position model. RNAcentral also lists the same sequence under 1 other name. The record is from RNAcentral. Lineage: Eukaryota; Metazoa; Cnidaria; Anthozoa; Scleractinia; Merulinidae.